Molecule: ribosomal RNA, 508 nt
Filed under: uncultured bacterium
Lineage: Bacteria
Description: bacterial SSU rRNA
Rfam family: Bacterial small subunit ribosomal RNA
Source: RNAcentral
AGAGUUUGAUUCUGGCUCAGGAUGAACGCUGGCGGCGUGCUUAACACAUGCAAGUCGAACGAAGCAAUUAAGCGGAAGUUUCGGAUGGAAGCUUAAUUGACUUAGUGGCGGACGGGUGAGUAACCCGUGGGUAACCUGCCUUAUACUGGGGGAUAACAGUUGGAAACGACUGCUAAUACCGCAUAAUAAAGAAUAUCGCAUGAUUUUCUUUUGAAAUAUUUAUAGGUAUAAGAUGGACCCGCGUCUGAUUAGCUAGUUGGUGAGGUAACUGCUCACCAAGGCGACGAUCAGUAGCCGGCUUGAGAGAGUGACCGGCCACAUUGGGACUGAGACACGGCCCAAACUCCUACGGGAGGCAGCAGUGGGGAAUAUUGCACAAUGGGGGAAACCCUGAUGCAGCGACGCCGCGUGAGUGAAGAAGUAUUUCGGUAUGUAAAGCUCUAUCAGCAGGGAAGAUAAUGACGGUACCUGACUAAGAAGCCCCGGCUAACUACGUGCCAGCCGCCGC